This 329-nucleotide unclassified non-coding RNA is filed under the name soil metagenome. Its description in RNAcentral is "partial contains 5.8S ribosomal RNA, internal transcribed spacer 2, and large subunit ribosomal RNA". The stretch from base 1 to 120 matches the Rfam family "5.8S ribosomal RNA", at positions 35 to 154 of the family's 154-position model. The record is from RNAcentral.
GAUGAAGAACGUAGUGAAAUGCGAUAAGUAGUGUGAAUUGCAGAAUUCAGUGAAUCAUCGAAUCUUUGAACGCAUAUUGCGCUCUUUGGUACUCCAAAGAGCAUAUCUGUUCGAGCGUCGGUUAUAAAAUGGAAAGUAAUUGUAAAUAGAUGAGUAUUGUCUAAAGUUAGACCUGCUUUAAAAUAAUCAGCAUAGUUAUAUUAGCUUUAGAACAUAGUAAAUCGUCGUUACUGAAGCGUAUAUAAUUGCUGUUAUUUAUUUAUUAUAAAACAUGACCUCGGAUCAGAUAGGGAUACCCGCUGAACUUAAGCAUAUCAAUAAGCGGAGGA